UAUAGGGUAUAAUGGUCUCCCCCAGUGAUCCUUUCUGGCAGUAUGAUUUUGACGAUGCUUAUUUUUACUCUGACAAUGAUGACAUGGACAUUGGUGGAUGUGGUGAUGACAUGGACAGUGGUUUCAGUGAUGAUGACAUGGAUAUCGGUGAUUGUGAUGAUGACAUGACCACUGGUGUAGACAUAGACUCAGAGUAUGAUAGCGAGGAGAAAGAGUUUUGGUUUGUAUUUCCACUUAUUGGAGAGAUGGUGGCAUAUUUCCAGCAGCAUUAUGACAAGCGCCCACAAUGUACUAGCAUUUUGAGUGGAAGCAAUUAUAUGGCUGAAGUGAAAGAUGGCAAUUCUAUCAAUUGUCAUGACAUGUUCUGCAUGACACUAGAUCUAUUCUAUCACUUGGUUCAUGAGUUGAAACAUUAUGGGUACUUGAAGGAAGGGAAGGGGCGUGUUGAUGUGUAGGAGUUAGUGGCCAUAUUUUUGUACAUUGUUGGCCAUAAUACUUAGAUGCGACCUAUGGUAGACAGAUUUCAGCAUUCCAUUGAAACUGUGGACCACAAGUUUUGUAGGGUGUUGCGGGCUGUCCACACAUAUGGCCAACAUUUAAUCAAGCCUGAUCCGACUGUGGUAGGCCUUUUAGAGCAUUUGUGGGGGAAUAAUAAGUACUACCCUUAGUUUGAGAGAAGCAUAAAAGCUAUCGACGGAACACAUAUUAGUGCUCGGCCUUCAGCAGAAAGACUCUGGUCUCACAAGAGUCGCAAGAGCACUGUUACAAUCAAUGUCAUGCGUGCAUGUGACCAUGACAUGCGGUUUACGUAUGUCCAUUUUGGUUGGGAGGGAAGUGUCAACGACUCAGGGGUGUUUGAAGAAGUUAUUAAAGUCCCGAAGCAUAGAUUCCUAUGGCCACCAGAAGGGUUCCUAUUACUUGGUUGAUUCGGGGCACCCCACUAGUGCAUUGUUUCUUCCACCACAUAAGGUCACUCGAUAUCAUGCCCAAGAAUUUAGGAGGAGUAGUAGGCAACUGAGAUCAGGGAAAGAGUUGUUAACUAUAGAAACUCUUUAUUGCGCAUGGUGAUUGAGAGGGCUUUUGGAGUCCUGAAGGCUCACCUUCCCAUCUUGAGUUGCAUGGCAAAAUAUAAGCAAUAUCGUCAGCGUUUGGUUGUUUUUGCGUGUUGUGCAUUACAUAAUUUUAUAUGCAUCAAUAAUCAAAGAGAUGUAAUGUUUAACACAUGGGAGAACCUUGACGUUGAUAGGGAUGAUAUACAAACUAAAAAAAAUGGGGACUCUCCUGAGUUGAGUGCAAGUGCUGAAAGGAGGCAUGUGAAGGAGAUGUCUGAUGCGGCGAAGAGAGUAAUGGAUGAGUUCAGGGAUGAUAUGAUUGACUGCAUAUGGGAGGAGUACAUGCGACGUCGAGGUUGACGGUUGGCAUGUCUAAGAAUUCAUGCUUUUUGUUAGGACUUUUGUAUAAAGCUAGUACCCAUUCCUAUGACUUUUUGUUGGGACUUUUGUAUAGGUCUAGGUACUGUGACUAGAAGUCACUUAGCAUGAUACAUGAUGCAUUCUUUUGGACAUUAUGAUGCAUUUUUUUGUAAAUUUAGAUUAACUGUGGACAUGUUUACAUGUAAUGGCUAAUGUCAAUAACCUAUUGACAUUUUUGAUGUAAUUCCUUUUGGCAAUUUUAAAGUAGGUGUAUCUAAUAUCUAUUGGUAAUGUAAGUACAAGUGGACAUGCUUAUAUGCAAUUGUAUGUAACACAUUUU
Molecule: long non-coding RNA, 1752 nt
Organism: Quercus lobata
Lineage: Eukaryota; Viridiplantae; Streptophyta; Magnoliopsida; Fagales; Fagaceae
Exons: 3
Source: RefSeq, a predicted model, not a curated record